This 216-nucleotide ribosomal RNA is filed under the name Triticum aestivum (bread wheat). RNAcentral's name for it is "partial small subunit ribosomal RNA". The record is from RNAcentral. Lineage: Eukaryota; Viridiplantae; Streptophyta; Magnoliopsida; Poales; Poaceae.
AUGAAUGCCCUAUCAUGGAACUGCCCGGGGGAACCGCCGGACAGUUCGGGAGGUGUUAGCCGUCUCAAAAGCCAAUAACCCAAGCUAGUCUUUCUUUGCGAGACUAGACAAGUAUCCUCGAGGAUUGAGAAGUUACGUCGGAGGCUAGGCCUCAAGGGUUUCCAUGGUGUUGAUAGUGAUGGGAGGAGUGGAGGCUUAGCCCUCUUUUGGGAUGAG